GGGCUUCUGGGUGGCAUCUUUAUCCCCAAGUGCUACAUCAUCUUGCUGAAACCCGAGAAGAACACUCUUGCCUGGUUAAGGCAAGGACACCAGGUAUCCAGCCUCUGGUUCCUGGGUAUAAGUGCCUUGAGGCACAUAGGAGUGACAAGUACCCUUCACUGAGGACCACCAACUACCAGUGUUCCAUAGAAUGCUCUAACUGUCUCCAACAACCAGACCUAGCAAGCCCUGUCGUACAGAGUGAAAAGUUCAAGAUCAGAACUUGAAAUCCAACCAAUUGUGAGCUUGUUCCCUGCUCUGGACUUGAAAACCCACAAUUCACACCCUGGAAAUCUCCACCAUAGAAAGCUCUGUAGCAGUGAAAAGUUGAUCUACUCUGAGUUCCCAGUAGGUUGGGCUUCUAGCCACCUGCCAGACCUCUCUGGAUUUGCAAAUAAAAAGACACACACAUG
Long non-coding RNA from Mastomys coucha (southern multimammate mouse), 452 nucleotides. RefSeq lists it as uncharacterized. The transcript has 2 exons. Lineage: Eukaryota; Metazoa; Chordata; Mammalia; Rodentia; Muridae. The record is from RefSeq and is a predicted model, not a curated record.